Molecule: ribosomal RNA, 195 nt
Filed under: Triticum aestivum (bread wheat)
Lineage: Eukaryota; Viridiplantae; Streptophyta; Magnoliopsida; Poales; Poaceae
Description: partial small subunit ribosomal RNA
Source: RNAcentral
AUGGAGAGUCUCCUACAUUGGGAUUUUUCCCCUAGCCUAGCCCUUGCAGAUCAGGUGAGACGACAAUUUGGCUCUACGGUGCAUUUUCCCCCCUCUCGGGACCGCAAGGAAUUCUUUCUUGUGGCCACGUUCUCUUCUGCCUCCUUCCCUAUUACUAUGGAUUCAGUUGGAAUUGCUUUGCAAUGUUGUUUGGGU